RNAcentral lists this ribosomal RNA (373 nucleotides) under uncultured organism. RNAcentral's name for it is "partial 16S ribosomal RNA". It matches the Rfam family "Bacterial small subunit ribosomal RNA", at positions 527 to 896 of the family's 1533-position model. The record is from RNAcentral.
GUAGGUGGCAAGCGUUGUCCGGAAUUAUUGGGCGUAAAGCGCGCGCAGGCGGUUCUUUAAGUCUGAUGUGAAAGCCCACGGCUCAACCGUGGAGGGUCAUUGGAAACUGGAGAACUUGAGUACAGAAGAGGAAAGCGGAAUUCCACGUGUAGCGGUGAAAUGCGUAGAGAUGUGGAGGAACACCAGUGGCGAAGGCGGCUUUCUGGUCUGUAACUGACGCUGAGGCGCGAAAGCGUGGGAGCAAACAGGAUUAGAUACCCGUGGUAGUCCACGCCGUAAACGAUGAGUGCUAAGGUGUUAGGGGGUUUCCGCCCCCUUAGUGCUGCAGCUAACGCAUUAAGCACUCCGGCCUGGGAGUACGGCCGCAAGGCUG